GGUGUUAGCUCAAUGGUAGAGCAGUUGCCCAACCUGCAAGAGAACCUGGGUUUGAUCCCCAGCACCA
RNAcentral lists this transfer RNA (67 nucleotides) under Ictidomys tridecemlineatus (thirteen-lined ground squirrel). Its description in RNAcentral is "Spermophilus tridecemlineatus (thirteen-lined ground squirrel) tRNA". It matches the Rfam family "tRNA". From Rfam's summary of the family: Transfer RNA (tRNA) molecules are approximately 80 nucleotides in length. The record is from Rfam by way of RNAcentral. Lineage: Eukaryota; Metazoa; Chordata; Mammalia; Rodentia; Sciuridae.